RNAcentral lists this long non-coding RNA (797 nucleotides) under Zea mays. RNAcentral's name for it is "long non-coding RNA (ZMAY_LNC003194)". Lineage: Eukaryota; Viridiplantae; Streptophyta; Magnoliopsida; Poales; Poaceae. The record is from RNAcentral.
GGCUCCCUGUUCUUCGGCCACCUGCACAGCGCCAUCUCUCUUUCCUCCCUCUCUCGCUGCUCCCUCCCCCGUCGCCCUGUUCCGCAUCCAAUGGCUAGAGGAUUUGGUGAUCCCGCCCCGCUCAACCGCGCCCGCUCCGCUUGUCGCCGCGGCCUGUGGCACGUCCUCACCACCCUCACGCCCCAUCUCUUCUCCCUCUCAUGAAGUUAGAUGUGGACAUCCGUGUGCUGCUUCAUAGACUUUCCAGUGGAGGAGGCGGAGAUGACCGUGGUGGCCGGCGAGGAUGGGGGCACUGGCGCCUAGGUCACACUCAUCAUGAAGCUAGGUGACAUGGCCAGUCCUUACCACUGGAGAGGACAAGGAUGUGGUCCACGACAUGUAAGGCAUCUGUGGCUGCUUCAAUCCUCCCAAGCUCUAAUCCAGUUUGGCUAUGUCUUGUUAAAAAUGUACAAUGAAAUUGCAAAUGAACAUCAACAUUUGUUUUAUCUUGAUUUAGAUCUUAAAAUCUGUGCGAUUGAUGGUAAAGUUGGUUUUGGACAUACAAUGCUUAAAAGUCAAGUAAUUGAAAUUGAUUGCUUAUAGGCUACUCGAUUAUAUAGUUGGAGAAACAUAUUUCAUCAAAUUGUUAACUUGUUAGACAUUUAAAUCAUAUUGUUGCUACAGAUUCUAAUACAUCCAUUUUACUGGUUCAUAAUGAUACUAUUUUCCAUGUUGUCUCUGCCCUUGCUGUUGACCAUACAGGAUCCAGAGUGCUCUCUGAUAGCUAUGAUUAUAUGCAUAUGUACGACUUCCAGGGU